This 399-nucleotide long non-coding RNA is filed under the name Setaria italica (foxtail millet). RNAcentral describes it as "long non-coding RNA (SITA_LNC007490)". Lineage: Eukaryota; Viridiplantae; Streptophyta; Magnoliopsida; Poales; Poaceae. The record is from RNAcentral.
UUGAGUGUCAAGUGCGCUGGGAACCAUGAUGGAAUGAUCUUGACUAGUCCAGCAAGGACGAAGUGCCGAGUGACCACUGAAGUAUAGGAUAUUAUGAGAUUGGCGUCCUUGGCCACAAUUUCGGCAAGGUCCUUCGUUCCCUCCCUUGUGUAUUCCGUCAGACUGCGAUGAUCAACCUUCUCUGUUUGACGGCUCUACUCUCUAAAUUGACCAAACUAUUCUUGGCCAUUUCAGCUCUCUCCAAUAUCUCAACAUCUCUGUUUUUCUCUGUUACUACUAGAAAUCUACUGUUGGCCAUAAACUCCAUAUUGCUUUACGCAACUAGACAUAACGCUGAUUUGACGUUUUCCUACUGUUCCAUACUCCCUGUAGAACUAAAGACCCACACAAUGCUCUGUU